UAAGAUAUUUGUAAUUAGGUAGUAAAGAAAAAUCUGAAACCUAAAGAACUUGGCGGUAUUUUAAAUAAUUGGAGGAACCUGUUGCUUAAUUGAAAAUCCACAACAUAUCUUACCUUAUUUUUGUUUGUAUAUCGUUGCUUAGACAAAAUUUUUUAAUAUAGUCAAUAACAACAUAGCUUUCAAAAAUCAAAUCAAGGUGCAGCAUAAUAGGGUUGUAAUGGGUUACAUUAUGAAUUAUAUAAGACGGAAUUUAAAUGAAAACUAAUUUGAAGGUGGAUUCAAAAGUAAUUGUAAAGUAAAAAGUUUCAAUGAAUAAUUUUUUAAAAUAUGC
This 331-nucleotide ribosomal RNA is filed under the name Opistophthalmus holmi. RNAcentral's name for it is "partial 12S ribosomal RNA". The record is from RNAcentral. Lineage: Eukaryota; Metazoa; Arthropoda; Arachnida; Scorpiones; Scorpionidae.